This 503-nucleotide ribosomal RNA is filed under the name uncultured Desulfobulbus sp. RNAcentral's name for it is "bacterial SSU rRNA". It matches the Rfam family "Bacterial small subunit ribosomal RNA", at positions 903 to 1382 of the family's 1533-position model. The record is from RNAcentral. Lineage: Bacteria; Pseudomonadati; Thermodesulfobacteriota; Desulfobulbia; Desulfobulbales; Desulfobulbaceae.
GCCAGCCCGCUCAGAAACUUAAAGGAAUUGACGGGGCCCGCACAAGCGGUGGAGUAUGUGGUUAAUUCGAUGCAACGCGAAGAACCUUACCUGGUCUUGACAUCCCGGAGACCCUUAGGAAACUAGGGGGUGCUUCCAUCUGGAAGAAUCUGGAGACAGGUGCUGCAUGGCUGUCGUCAGCUCGUGUCGUGAGAUGUUGGGUUAAGUCCCGCAACGAGCGCAACCCUUGCCUUUAGUUGCCAGCAGUUCGGCUGGGCACUCUAAAGGGACUGCCGGUGUUAAACCGGAGGAAGGUGGGGAUGACGUCAAGUCCUCAUGGCCUUUAUGACCAGGGCUACACACGUACUACAAUGGCCGAUACAAAGGGCAGCGACACUGCGAGGUGAAGCCAAUCCCGUAAAAUCGGUCUCAGUCCGGAUUGGAGUCUGCAACUCGACUCCAUGAAGUUGGAAUCGCUAGUAAUCGUGGAUCAGCAUGCCACGGUGAAUACGUUCCCGGGCCUU